RNAcentral lists this ribosomal RNA (252 nucleotides) under uncultured bacterium. RNAcentral's name for it is "partial 16S ribosomal RNA". It matches the Rfam family "Bacterial small subunit ribosomal RNA", at positions 524 to 776 of the family's 1533-position model. The record is from RNAcentral.
UACGGAGGGUGCGAGCGUUAAUCGGAAUUACUGGGCGUAAAGGGUGCGUAGGUGUGCAGUAAGCUAUCUGUGAAAUUCCUGGGCUUAACCUGGGGUGGUCAGAUAAAACUGCUGCACUCGAGUAUAGGAGAGGGUAGUGGAAUUUCCGGUGUAGCGGUGAAAUGCGUAGAGAUCGGAAGGAACACCAGUGGCGAAGGCGGCUACCUGGCCUGAUACUGACACUGAGGCACGAAAGCGUGGGGAGCAAACAGG